CGUGAACCUUUACUAUAGCUUGACACUGAACAUUGAGCCUUGAUGUGUAGGAUAGGUGGGAGGCUUUGAAGUGUGGACGCCAGUCUGCAUGGAGCCGACCUUGAAAUACCACCCUUUAAUGUUUGAUGUUCUAACGUGGACCCGUAAUCCGGGUUGCGGACAGUGUCUGGUGGGUAGUUUGACUGGGGCGGUCUCCUCCUAAAGAGUAACGGAGGAGCACGAAGGUUGGCUAAUCCUGGUCGGACAUCAGGAGGUUAGUGCAAUGGCAUAAGCCAGCUUGACUGCGAGCGUGACGGCGCGAGCAGGUGCGAAAGCAGGUCAUAGUGAUCCGGUGGUUCUGAAUGGAAGGGCCAUCGCUCAACGGAUAAAAGGUACUCCGGGGAUAACAGGCUGAUACCGCCCAAGAGUUCAUAUCGACGGCGGUGUUUGGCACCUCGAUGUCGGCUCAUCACAUCCUGGGGCUGAAGUAGGUCCCAAGGGUAUGGCUGUUCGCCAUUUAAAGUGGUACGCGAGCUGGGUUUAGAACGUCGUGAGACAGUUCGGUCCCUAUCUGCCGUGGGCGCUGGAGAACUGAGGGGGGCUGCUCCUAGUACGAGAGGACCGGAGUGGACGCAUCACUGGUGUUCGGGUUGUCAUGCCAAUGGCACUGCCCGGUAGCUAAAUGCGGAAGAGAUAAGUGCUGAAAGCAUCUAAGCACGAAACUUGCCCCGAGAUGAGUUCUCCCUGAGACUUAG
This 734-nucleotide ribosomal RNA is filed under the name Salmonella enterica. RNAcentral's name for it is "partial 23S ribosomal RNA". It matches the Rfam family "Bacterial large subunit ribosomal RNA", at positions 2092 to 2824 of the family's 2925-position model. RNAcentral also lists the same sequence under 1 other name. The record is from RNAcentral. Lineage: Bacteria; Pseudomonadati; Pseudomonadota; Gammaproteobacteria; Enterobacterales; Enterobacteriaceae.